AGAGUUUGAUUCUGGCUCAGGACGAACGCUGGCGGCGUGCUUAACACAUGCAAGUCGAGCGAUGAAGCUUCUUCGGGAGUGGAUUAGCGGCGGACGGGUGAGUAACACGUGGGUAACCUGCCUCAUAGAGGGGAAUAGCCUUCCGAAAGGAAGAUUAAUACCGCAUAAGAUUGUAAUAUCACAUGAUAUAGCAAUUAAAGGAGCAAUCCGCUAUGAGAUGGACCCGCGUCGCAUUAGCUAGUUGGUGAGGUAACGGCUCACCAAGGCGACGAUGCGUAGCCGACCUGAGAGGGUGAUCGGCCACAUUGGGACUGAGACACGGCCCAGACUCCUACGGGAGGCAGCAGUGGGGAAUAUUGCACAAUGGGGGAAACCCUGAUGCAAGCAACGCCGCGUGAGUGAUGACGGUCUUCGGAUUGUAAAGCUCUGUCUUCAGGGACGAUAAUGACGGUACCUGAGGAGGAAGCCACGGCUAACUACGUGCCAGCCGCCGC
This 494-nucleotide ribosomal RNA is filed under the name uncultured bacterium. RNAcentral's name for it is "bacterial SSU rRNA". It matches the Rfam family "Bacterial small subunit ribosomal RNA", at positions 8 to 518 of the family's 1533-position model. The record is from RNAcentral.